Nerophis lumbriciformis (worm pipefish) is the source of this 2219-nucleotide long non-coding RNA. RefSeq lists it as uncharacterized. The record is from RefSeq and is a predicted model, not a curated record. NCBI's taxonomy places the organism in Eukaryota, Metazoa, Chordata, Actinopteri, Syngnathiformes, Syngnathidae.
AGUCCCGGUGGUCCUUGACGUACCACCACUGGAUCUCCAAGGAGGAAGGCGAACCUGCCCCGCGGAAAGAGCACGCCAUCUCGACAUCUACGCCGCUCUGUGUCGAGACGUCGUGGGGUACUUCUGUGAAAAGAGCUGGGAAAACAAGUAGGACUUAUGUGGGAAUGUCCGAUGUACGCAAGUCGAUGAAAUGCUGAUUGGAGAGCGAGCUUGGUCCAUGACGAUGACUUCUGUUUUGUUUGAUCAUCCGUUUUACUGCUGUUGAGAAACAAUUAAGGCCAGUGGGAGAAAAGAGAAGACUCUGCCAUCAUCCCACCUACUCAACCUGGCAGAGUCACGUCCUUGAUGUAGUGCAACUCUCAGCCUGCCGGGGGUCUCCUUUGUCAGCGCGGGGGCGGCAGAGGAGGGCUCAGGUUUUUUUUUUUACACUGAAAAAACAGGACGACGAAAACGGCGUUUUAGAGGAGGCGGAGGGAUGGAGCUGAAGACAAGAAGGAUGGAGUCAAGCUAGAAAGCAUUUGAAAGGUGCCACUGGUGGUUAGAGGAUGGAUGAUGGAUGGAUGCACCAGGGAGAGGAGGGAAUGUAAGCAAGGCCCUGAUUGGUCGCAGUUCGGGUUGUCCCCAUAUCAAUAUGUUGGUACCGCUACCAAAAUAUAUUUCUAUACUUUUCUAAAUGAAACUACCACGAAAUACUGUCAUUAUUUUUAUUUGAAUAAAAAAUCUUAGGUUACAUGAAACAUAUGUUUAUUAUUGUAAUUUAGUCCUUAAAUAAAAUAGUGAACAUACUAGACAACUUGUCUUUUAGUAGUAAGUAAACAAACAAAGACUCCUAAUUAGUCUGCUGACGUAUGCAAUAACAUAUUGUGUCAUUUAUCUACCUUUUAUUUUGUCUACAUUAUGACGGACAAACUGUAAAAAUUGAUUAUUAAUCUACUUGUUCAUUUACUGUUAAUAUCUGCUAAUUUUCUGUUUUAACAUGUUCUAUCUACAUUUCUGUUGAAAUGUAAUAAUCACUUAUUUUUCUCUUUGAUAUUUUACAUUAGUUUUGGAUGAUACCACACAUUUAGGUAUCGAUCCGAUACCAAGUAGUUACAGGAUCAUACAUUGGUCAUAUUCAAAGUCCUCAUGUGUCCAGGGACGUAUUUCCUGAGUUUAUAAACAUAAUAUGAUUUUUUUUUUAAGAUUUUGUGACAAUAAAAAAUAUCGAUGUAAUCAUAGUAGUAUCGACUAGAUACGCUAUUGUACGUGGUAUCAUUACAGUGGAUGUCAGGUGUAGAUCCACCCAUGGCAUUUGUUUGCAUUGUGACGCCGGUGAGCUAUUGUGUCCUCCUACGGUGUGUAGUGAAGCAUGUUUAGCUAUUCCUCAUCCUCCAGUGAUAAUGCUACUUGUAAGAAAAUAUUAUUCAUUCAAAUAUGGGUUGAUGCAGUACUCUCGUCACACCAUAGGGGGCGACAGUAGGCAUACGUGUCACAAUGAAGCAGCAGGGGUGAGUAGAAGACUACUCAUUCAACCCUGGGAAAAAAUCGAAAUAAAUUGCAAAAAUCUGACUUUUAACAACGACUGGAAAACAAAGUAUGAAUGUUCAAGUGCUGGAGUCAUUGUUUCUUGUGGGACAUUUUAAGCGGUGCACACGUUGAUCCAGACAAGCAGCAACAUCGUGUAACUUCAUCACCAAACAUGAAAUAAAUAAAUAUUGUGCAUUACGAUAUUUAGUUUGUUUUGUAUUGACAUUUGUAUUCCUGGUUGUGUUUUUUGUCUGAGAGUAACAAUCAAACCUCGUUGAAUAAACGUAGUGCUAAAUUUGACCAGUAGAGGCCGACAACGCUAAUAGUGUUACGUCGCAUACAAUGUUUGGUGUGUGAAUGUUGUGUAAUUGCCAUAUGUGUAAACAUUUUUAGUUUAUUGUGUGAAUAUAUCAACACUGAACCAUGUAUUUUACUUCUGUAAAAUACACAAUGGACAUGCCAUUUUUGUUAUGUUUGUUUUAUGUUCACAUUUUCAGUCCUACAAACCUAAAUAAAUAAGGAAGCGUAAAGAAAUAAAACUGAGGAAGGAAAAUAAUUAAGGAACAUCCAUCCUUCUCUUUCUUCAUGCUGUUAACUAUCUGCACACGCUGGAAUCGAGUAGCGAGGGCAGAAUAAUGAUUUUUUUUUCUGACAGUGCAGUGUGAAAGCCGAUGUGUUUACUUUGCAAUGAAGUAAAUAAAUAUAACCUGCGC